Molecule: long non-coding RNA, 531 nt
Organism: Polypterus senegalus (gray bichir)
Lineage: Eukaryota; Metazoa; Chordata; Cladistia; Polypteriformes; Polypteridae
Exons: 4
Source: RefSeq, a predicted model, not a curated record
CAGCAAUAUGUUUCUGCUUCUGUGAACCAUCAGAGUCUUAGGUUUACAGAGAAAAGAAAUUUUUUGCUUGCUGGCUAGUUGUUCACCUGCAUUUACAUGCAGUGUUAGCUUUAAAUUCAGCACCUUUCUGUUAUUGGGCUAGUCUGAUGAAAUGAAUUUCCGAUUUUUUCAGCCUGAGAACCUCAUCAUGGAAAACAUUUUUGGUUGCAAGUCAUACAGAUUGGAUGAUUGACAACCUUGCUGCCUCUGACAUCACUUCUGGUAUCCGUCCCCAUGAACACACUUCUUUCUGCCUGGCUGGCAUUUAACCGGAAGUUGCACUUCUUAUCAUAGCUUCUCUGCAGAAGACUCUGGAGCUGUUCUUUUACAUGAUGGAAUGCCAGCUCAUACCAUGCAUGAUUCCCAUGCUGUUAUCGCUUUUACGGUACAAUUGAAAUAUGACAAAGGAUUAUGAAAAUUAUGGUGGUAUGGAUCGUGGACUAUCUUCCAGACAGACCUCAGUAUGUGUGUCUCAGGAACUGCAGGUCUGAC